RNAcentral lists this ribosomal RNA (206 nucleotides) under uncultured bacterium. RNAcentral's name for it is "partial 16S ribosomal RNA". It matches the Rfam family "Bacterial small subunit ribosomal RNA", at positions 568 to 774 of the family's 1533-position model. The record is from RNAcentral.
AGCGCAGGCGGACCGGCAAGUUGGAAGUGAAAACUAUGGGCUCAACCCAUAAAUUGCUUUCAAAACUGCUGGCCUUGAGUAGUGCAGAGGUAGGUGGAAUUCCCGGUGUAGCGGUGGAAUGCGUAGAUAUCGGGAGGAACACCAGUGGCGAAGGCGACCUACUGGGCACCAACUGACGCUGAGGCUCGAAAGCAUGAUAGCAAACA